This 253-nucleotide ribosomal RNA is filed under the name uncultured bacterium. Its description in RNAcentral is "partial 16S ribosomal RNA". It matches the Rfam family "Bacterial small subunit ribosomal RNA", at positions 524 to 776 of the family's 1533-position model. The record is from RNAcentral.
UACGAGAGGCCCAAACGUUAUUCGGAUUUACUGGGCUUAAAGAGUUCGUAGGCGGCCUGAAAAGCAGGGUGUGAAAGCCCUCGGCUCAACCGAGGAAUUGCGCUCUGAACUGUCGUGCUAGAGGAAUCUAGAGGUGAGCGGAACUGAUGGUGGAGCGGUGAAAUGCGUUGAUAUCAUCAGGAACACCGGAGGCGAAGGCGGCUCACUGGGGAUUUUCUGACGCUGAGGAACGAAAGCCAGGGGAGCGAACGGG